RNAcentral lists this ribosomal RNA (440 nucleotides) under uncultured bacterium. Its description in RNAcentral is "partial 16S ribosomal RNA". It matches the Rfam family "Bacterial small subunit ribosomal RNA", at positions 338 to 795 of the family's 1533-position model. The record is from RNAcentral.
CCUACGGGUGGCAGCAGUAGGGAAUUCUGCGCAAUGGGCGAAAGCCUGACGCAGCAACGCCGCGUGAUCGAGACGCCCUUCGGGGUGGAAAGAUCUGUCAGUGGGGACGAAACUUGACGGUACCCACAGAGGAAGCCCCGGCUAACUCCGUGCCAGCAGCCGCGGUAAUACGGGGGGUGCAAGCGUUGUCCGGAAUCAUUGGGCGUAAAGAGAUCGUAGGCGGCGCGUAAAGUCUGGUGUUAAAGGCAGAGGCUCAACUUCUGUACGGCACUGGAUACUGGCGAGCUAGAAUGCGGUAGAGGUAAAGGGAAUUCCUGGUGUAGCGGUGAAAUGCGUAGAUAUCAGGAGGAACAUCGGUGGCGUAGGCGCUUUACUGGGCCGUAAUUGACGCUGAGGAACGAAAGCCAGGGUAGCAAAUGGGAUUAGAUACCCCAGUAGUC